Molecule: transfer RNA, 68 nt
Filed under: Atelura formicaria
Lineage: Eukaryota; Metazoa; Arthropoda; Insecta; Zygentoma; Nicoletiidae
Description: tRNA-Lys
Source: RNAcentral
CGUAAGGUGGCCGAAUUUUAAGCAAUGGUCUCUUAAACCAUCACAUGGUAUACAUUUACCCCAUACGG